This 132-nucleotide ribosomal RNA is filed under the name Limnomonas spitsbergensis. Its description in RNAcentral is "small subunit ribosomal RNA". Lineage: Eukaryota; Viridiplantae; Chlorophyta; Chlorophyceae; Chlamydomonadales. The record is from RNAcentral.
AAAUAAAAAAUAUUUCUCAAGAGUUUGGUGCUGGCUCAGCAGUAAUGCGGCUUUUUAGGAUUUAUACAUGCGAGUUAUAUAUAUUAGCGUACGGGUGCGUAAUGCGCGAGUCUAACUAAAAAAAAUAAUUAA